AUCCUUUUGUAGUUCAUGGACGUGAGGACUGGGUGUUCAUGUGCAUGUGUGACAUGUGCCACCCUCGAACCUUGUUACAGAUGUUGGCCCAUUACCCAUCUGACA
This is a small nucleolar RNA of Macaca fascicularis (crab-eating macaque), 105 nucleotides long. The record is from Ensembl. NCBI's taxonomy places the organism in Eukaryota, Metazoa, Chordata, Mammalia, Primates, Cercopithecidae.